AGCGGGCGGGGCCCGGCCCGGGGCCGCGGCUCUCCCCGGUGCCCGUUCCCCUUCCUUGUUUCCCUUCCUUCCCUUCCCCGCCCCGGGGCGCCGCGCCUGGGCUCCAGGCCUCGGCCGCGCCGCUCCCGUGGUGGGGCCGCGCCCGGGCCCUUUCCCCGCAGCCCCGGCCCGGGACUUUCCCCGCUUCCCCCCCGCCCCGGCCCCGGCGGCCGCGCUUCCUCGGGACUUUCCUCGGCGUCCCGGCAGCCGCCUCCCCCCCCCCCCCCCCCCACCCCCCUUUCCUCGCCCCAGAGCUUCCCGGAGCCUCCCCGCCGCUGCCCUUCCCCGUGCCCGGCACCAGGAAGCGCGGCGGGGGGGCCCGGAGCGGCUCGGGGGGGGCCGCCCGCUGCUAGGCCGGGGGGGGGGGGCAGCAGCCGGGGGGCUCCCGGCCCGGCGAGCGCUGCCGGUGGGGUCGUGGCUGGGUGAGGGGCUCGCUGCUGCUGCUUUGGCUCUGGCACUUAUCGCGGCUGAGUGUGCCAAGGCGUGGGGCUUAUCAAAGGGAUCCGGCCCCAAAGCCGGGCCUGCUGCGCGUUGUCAGGAGGUAACAGGCAGCAGAGAGCUGGGGCAGGGCGUGCUCGUGGCCGGGCUGAGCUAAGUGUGAUAAAAAGCAGCGCUGCACAUGGCCGGAGCUCGCCCCGCGGUGUGAGCACGGGGCACGCACACAGGGCUUCGCUCGUGACUUUUCCCUCGUGAACUCCAGGCAGUUAUUAGGGUACCGCAGGGUAACGCUGUGGGCACGCUUCUCAAGGCCUUCUUGUUUGCUAAACUAAACUGUGCUGGCACGGAGUUCGCUCAAAGGGGAAUUCAUUGCCCAGUUGUGAGAGUUGUUGUCAUGGUUCAAUUUCAAGCAGGCAAGUACGCUUUCCAGCUCAAAUCAUGGUAACGUGCAUAUACUCCAGAUAUGUAGGAACGGGUUCAUGAAAUGUAUCUUGGAAAUUCAUGUUUGAUUUUUUCUUUGAGAGAAAAAUGGACACCUUCAACGAUACCGGCAGUAGGAAGUGCUCCUCACACUAACAGAAGAGUACAGUAAUGUCUGUGGAAAAGGCAACUUCAUCGUUCUUAAGUGUUACUGCAAGAACAACACAACCUGGAAACAACUGAAAAACACAGUCUACCUGUGCUACGUUUGUGUACGGUGCCUCUUGUGCUCACUAGUUUUACAAAGAUCUAGAAGCCAAAUAAUAUUCUUUAAAGUUGUAUAAUUUUAAGCUAUAUACAUAUGAAAUAGUAAUCAUUUUGAAAAUUACAUGAAUUUGUACUUUAUUGAAUGUACUUCUGUAUGGUGACACUAAGCUUGGAACGUUUGUCUGGGAUACCAGAGUAAUUCUUUCAGAAGUACUUAAGGCUUUAUGCCUGUAUACCCUGUCUACACGCUGUUGUGGUAUUCUUGGGGUAGUGUUAAAUAAUGGUAGAUUAACAGAACUGAUUACAACUUCAGUUCACAGUUAAUAACGGAUGACAAAGUCAAGAUUUUUGUCUAUUUUAAUAUUAAGAUCCUACACAACUUUUAUGGUUUACUUGUUUGAUGGCUCAUUUGAGGAGAAAACAGUUUAAUGCCUAAAUGAAAUCUGUUUCAAUUGAUUGUAAAUUCGUUUACAUUUGCAUAAUUAAAAAAAUAAAUAAACUGGAAAAGGAACAUAACCAAAAGCAAUCACUAGUGUUGCUGUACAGAUGAAGUGUACUGCAAUGUCUGUAUUCUGAUGCUUUAUAACCCUCUGCAUGGCUUAUGGUUAGAACAGAAGAGUUAUCAGUAAUUAACUCUGAUAGGACCUGAUCAUGCUUGGUCAGGUUCUGAUACUAGAUAACUUCAAGGGCUGUUCUAGAAAUUUAUUUCUUUACUACCAGUGAAUAAAUACAACCUUCCUAAAAACAUGUAUUCCAGCUGGUCAUUUUGAAUGUAGUUUCAAUUACAUGAGAAGAAAAGUCAUGCCAAUUUUCUUUUUUUUAUUAUUAUUAUUAAGAAACUGGGGAAAGGUAGAAUUUACCUUAAGCAGAUACACACAUCUGAAGUUUCUAGCAUAUAGUGCCUUGAAUUUUCAGACUUCCUAACAAAAAAAAAAAAAAAAGUGAAGUGAAUCUCAGUAUUUUCAUCAAUACCCUCAGAGUUGCUUAGUGUAGGGAUCUGUUCAUUGACUGAUGUUAUGAGCAAUUUUGACAUUUAUAAAGCAGUCCUUAGGGGCAAUAUUCUCCUCAACUGUUAGGAGCAUGCUUCAUUGAAUGAUAUGGAAAUGCAUGCAAAUAUAUUAAACACUACAUAAUUAUUAUCAUGUCUUUUGAGGAAUGGAAAUAACUGAUAAAAUCUGAGGGUGAUUUUAAGAAGUGUGGGAAUAGUAUUAGAAAAUACUGAAAAGAAGCAAUGAGACCCCCAAAAAGUUUGGAAUUAACAAGUGGUCAUGCUUUGCCUAGGCUGAUCAGAUGCUGAACGUCAUUGCAAAUCUAUGACAAAUUGUUUCCUGGUAGAGCACACCCUUCGAUGUUGUUGGACUUCUGAGUUGUGUCGUAGUGGCUUGUGCUGCAGGAUAUCAAACGACCUAUUUCCCGCUGUGCAUGGGAGAAAUUCUGUUUUUUUCUGGACACAUGGGGGAGUUGUAGGAAGGUAUUUAUAUGAGCUAUCAGUAUCUGAGAGAUUAAAUCUGCAUCCUUGCUAUAGAUUGAGAAGAAUACUACCCUUCAUUAAAAUAGCACUCAGCCUCUAGCACGUAUCUGGGAUUUAAAAUUAAAACAUUUAGGACUUUAUACUGCUGGAUGAGGCAGUGUCUGGCAAAGGUGAUUAUUUCAGAAGUGUACAUGGAAAUUAAAUAAAAUCAGGUUUUUAAAUAGUAACUUUGAAAUACCAUCACCCAGGAACCUAAGCCAGUAGUUUAUCAUUGCUUUUAGAAGGCUCGAAUGGUUCAGUUCUGUGCUACGGCAGAGCCACUCUCAUGAGCUGCAUCGUCUUGCCCUGGCCCUGCAUUCCCAUCUCUCCUUCUCCACCUCUUGACGAGCCAAUUCAACCUGCAAAUUUAAAUGAAAGAAAUGACUGCUUUCCUGCCAGACAUAUCACCUCAGUUGGUUUGUUGUGCAGACCCAGGCCCAGCAAGGAGGAAGAGUUGAGACUUGUGUGGGGAUGGGGAGAAAGAAAGGGAGAAAAAAAAAAAAAAAGCAGACAUCAGUUAGUCUGGUGGUGCUGUACUAACUGUGCCUUAGAUGCAAGUUUCCAGUGAAGGGGAAUGAUCCUGAUUUGGCUUUUGUUUGCAUGUGUGUUUUUUUUUCACCAAAAACUAACGACCAAAAUAAAACAUAUUUUUCAUCCCAAUCGGCUAUAGUGCCAGCACAAGGGAAGAGCAAAAAUAGGAUGAAAAGGGGUGGCAGGAUCUGCCCUUCUUCUAGCAGUCACAAAACGACAGCCUAGAUUCAUUCUUCAGUGAAAUUCUUGUUGGGAGAUAGAUUUUAGGAUUACUGGCUUUUGAUGUGCUUCAGCACAGAAGUACUACAUUUGAAUGUUACCUAUACUUUUCAACAAGUGUCCUGUGUAAAGGGAACUUUUUUUUAAGAGAAUUAACCAAAAAUUCAGAACAGCUUGAAAAAAUACAACGUUUUGAUAAUUUUAUCUAAAUUAAAAUACUAUUAAUCAUUCUCUUAAAGGUUUUUAUCAAAUGCUGGCACUUCAAAUCUGCCAAUCAGUGAUGAUGCUUGCAGUAAAGAGUUGUCCAGUAGGUUAGCUUGAGCACUGAACAAUUUCUGAUAGUCCAGCAUGCUGUAUUUUGUGUGUUUCUUUUCCACUAACAAACUUGAGUUGUAUUUGAACUAUUUGCCAUUCUUGUGCAAGUCUUAAUCUAAGCGUCUUAAUAUAAGCUUCACCUUUUAGAACGGUGUGUGCUGGAUUUAUCCACUUAAAGGACAGUUAAAUGUUAUCUUUUACCACGAUACAGAUAUACAUAAUAGAUGCCUGUGUUGCUAAAUUUUAGUGCUGCUUAUUACUAAUCUUUGUGCAUGUGGACCGAGCUUUUAUGUGAAUUUCCUCCAUGGUGUUUGCAGAUACUGAGGUUAGUCUGACCAGCGUAUAGAUCUUCAGGUUCUCCUUAAACACAGGCGUGAUGUUUGUCUGCCAGUUGUCAGGAACCUCCCUCUCCCAAAAACCUCUCCAAUGUGAUAGAAAGCCUCAAAAUGGUGUCAGCCAGCUCCCUCAGUGCUCUGGGAUGCAGCCCUUCCAGUCCCAUGGACUUCUGUACAUCCUCAUGGUUUACACAUUCCCUAACGCAUUUCCUCUGCUUGUCUCUCACAGACUGCAAAGGUUUUGUCUAAGAAAAAGAGUUUUGACAAUCUUUGAAAAAAAUAAACACCGUGAAUGAGCAGCAAAGCCAUUUAGCCCAGACCACCAAACAGCAGUUAUAUAUAGCUGCUCAAGGUGUGCCAAGAGGCUUACAGCUCAAAUCCAGUGUUGGGUAUGUUUCACCCUUUGUAUGAUGUGCGGAGCUUAGGUAGGAGCUGAGAGGGUGUGCCUCUGACACCCUGUGUCCAGUGCGGUAGUGGCUGUUCAGGAAGUACAAUGAAAUUCUCAAAGGCUGCUGAAGAGCUCUAGACCCUCACACACAAGGUUUUUUACAGGGACUAUCACCUUGGGCCAUCUGCCUAAAUGUUCUGCAUAGUCUCUUUAGAGUGAGUCCUUCCUUGUAUUUACUUCUAAUUCCCUGAAAAUAAAGCUUUGUUCUUGGAGGUUUUUCCACUUGGGAAAAGCAACAUCUAGUUUAGCAAGUCCAUACAUCAAUCUCCUGUCAGCCUCAAAAGCCAUCCCACAGCUACCCUCUGGUAUCUGUAUACUGUGUUCCUGUCCUCUGCCCUGGCAUUUCCCUGAAGUAAAAUGGUGGCUGGUUUCACUAGGUUGCCUGGAAAGGCGUCGUGCCAUCUUUGAUGUUUGUCUGAUGGCAACAUGAUACACGAAAUUUGUAGAACAGCUCCCUUAAACUCCACCUGGGUGCAGGUGGUUCAGUAUUCCUUACUGCAGGUUUUCUGGUUGUGUGCUUAUUUUAAUAGAUGUCUUGAAGUCUCAAUUCAAAAAAACAAUAGUUUUUCGAUGGCAACAAAAUAAUCACAGUAGUUCAUCCCAGUUUUAGGUCUGUGUGCUUGCAAUUGUAGGAGAUUCUUGGGGUGCGAGGCUUUUGGAUGCUGUGAUAGGUGUCUUCCUUUCUGACACAGACUGCUCCAAUUAGGGGAGCUGCAGCUAGCAGCUGUACCUGCCCGAUGGGCCGCAAGGAAAGGCACUAAAGUGUCUGCGGGUGCGUUUGUGAUGCCUCUGGUGAUGAUGCUUAUAUGCAGCUUAAACACCGAGUCUGGCAAGAGAAGAAUCUGAGACAUCUUGUACCAGAUACUGCAUGGGAAGUACAGUCAUCUUUCCAGCUCAACAAACUUUUGCCGUCAGCAUCCUAUAAAUUCGUACCUUAUGGAAGCUGAGUUACUCAUUGAGCUACCUUUGUGACGAGGAGAAUCACUUUUGAUUUGUAGCUGGUUUUAUUUAAAGGAGAUCACAAAUUGAUUUGAGACUUUGGGCGCUACUACAGUGUUACCAUCAUGCGUGUUUCUGGAAAUGAAAGCUAACACUUAUUUGGAAACUUUGCUUUCAGCCCUGUCUGAAGGCCAUCUUCAGAAAGGCUCUGCAAUGGCACGUGCCCUGUGUGGCGGGCAGCUGCUUUGUUUUUUUAAGAGGGGAGAGUGCUUGUGGCAAGUACGUGCCAUGAGGGCCUUUAAAAGGAGGUGUGGGGUUUGGGGUUUAUGUUUGCAUGUUUGUUUUUAGUUUGGGGGAAAGUGUGUGUGAUUGCAGAAUGUGUAACUUUGCUUUAGCAGAAGGGCUCUCUUUGUUUUAUGUUAACUUUUGCUUAGCAGAAAUAACGUUGUAAGGCUUUUUAGUAUCAACAGUCUUUUAAUCUCUUGUCACAUUUGCAAACUAUGCUACUCAGCUGAGGGCAGCCUCAGCUUUCCGGGUGACCACGAGGCCUGCAGCAGGUGCAAAGUGUUUUGGGGCCUUUCAGGAAGCUGUCCUGCUUUAAAACCUUUUUCUAGGUGCCUGAUGCUGUUUAAAAAGUACCUUGCAAUGCUGAAGGAAAAAAAAAAACUAUAGCAAUUUAAAGAAUGUGUUAGUAGUAGUUGCCUACCACAGAAAAGUUGAAGAUAAUUUAACUUGUUAAAUAGUCCUGUGUUGAGAGAGCACAGAAACGUGCACCUUUGCAGCAUACAAACUCCUUGGUUUUGACGUUUUCAAAGAGUAUUCAUAUCAUAUUCCAGACUUACAUUCAUUUUAAAAUUAAAACUUCAGUUAAUUAUGCCAGCAAUUGUGUAACUUAUGCCAGCUAAUUCUGAAGUUUUUCUCUUAAUGUUGAUGCUUUUGGCUCACAUAGCUGGAAUCGGAAGGCAUGUACUGGCAGUCAGGUGAAUGCAUGUUGUUCAUCAGGCUGAUCUAAUAACUAGGCCCAGGCUAAUUGUGGUUGGGGUACAGAAGUCUCGUGCGCAAGGAGGUGUUUCUGGUUUGUGUUGUGGGAGUAAGCCUAAAGUGAUAGGAGAAACAUCAGACAGGGACAGCAUUCCUCACCCCCAGUAUUCCUCAUGCUGGUUGGUGAAACUUUGGCUUUGUAGAGUUUCUUAUUGGGAUUAGAACUGAUGUAGACAUGCUUAAAUAACAAAUUCUGUGAAUGGCAAAGGCACUUAAGAAGCCUCUGGUAAACAAGAUGAGGAUGGACUUUUGAGACUAAGAGUAAGAUAUGUAGGCCUUCAGUACCGGGAGGAAAUUUGAGUGGAGUUUAUCUGCAGUGUAUCAUUACUUGAAUUUUAAAGAGAGAUGGCCGUAUCAUGUUGUGCACGUUCCUAUUAAAUGCAAGUGACGCAUUUGGAAGUAUUCAUUUAUUUGGUCAUCUUCUGUAUCACUCUGAGGUGCGUGGAAAUCAGACAUUCUAAUCCCUUGAAAAGGAAUAGAGAUGCUGAGAAAUUCAUUAUAGUAAUUUAAAGAAGACCUCGUGGUAAUAAAUACAGGAAAAGGUAAAUUUAUAUUCUGCUUACAAAAUUCUGCUGUUAGUACAAUAACUUUUCCUUGUGCAAAUGUAACUAUUUGUACCGUAUUACUGAGGCAAAGUUUUGGGAUAUGCUUCUUUCCCUGAGCAUGCCUGGGCCUUGUCAGUAUACGUAUCUGAAGGGAAAUACUGUGUGGAAUCUCUGAGAAUUCUCUCUUUGCGGUUUAUCUGACAUUAACUGAUUAUGAGAUGUACUGUGUUAUACAGAAUUAAUGGUUCUGGAGCAAAUCGGGGGUUUGACUCUUCAUGUGAUCUCUCAGAUGCUGUACUUCAUUUCUGCAGGGGAAAAAAAAAAAAAAAAAGAUCAAAUGUAAGGUUCCUGAAUCAGGCAUAAACUAAAGAACUGCUGUUUUUCCUGAAGUAGGAGGUUAAGGAAGGAAGGCUUUGAAGCUAGGUGGGGAGCCAGGAACAAUGGGACAAAUGCAUACAUGCAACUAAGAACAACAUUCAGUGACUAAAGUAAAUACCACAGAAAAUGGGAGGGGAAGAAAAAAAAAAAAAAAAAAGGAAAAAAAAAUACAACC
This is a non-coding RNA of Anas platyrhynchos (mallard), 7600 nucleotides long. The record is from RefSeq and is a predicted model, not a curated record. Lineage: Eukaryota; Metazoa; Chordata; Aves; Anseriformes; Anatidae.